RNAcentral lists this small nuclear RNA (304 nucleotides) under Meriones unguiculatus (Mongolian gerbil). Its description in RNAcentral is "7SK RNA (ENSMUGG00000021779.1)". It matches the Rfam family "7SK RNA". Rfam says of the family: 7SK was discovered as an abundant small nuclear RNA in the mid-70s but a possible function has only recently been suggested. Two independent studies have found that 7SK RNA binds the CDK9/cyclin T complex (known as elongation factor P-TEFb). P-TEFb activates transcription by phosphorylating the C-terminal domain of RNA polymerase II. Lineage: Eukaryota; Metazoa; Chordata; Mammalia; Rodentia; Muridae. The record is from RNAcentral.
GGCAUAAAGGUGAUUUGGCUACGAUAUCUGUCAUCCUAUUGGUCAGUUGAUUUAGCUAAUCCGGCUGGCUGGGCAGAUGCCCCCUUCCUCCCUCAACAGUCCACGUGUGUCCUUCCUGCAUGUGUGGUUGAAGAGGACAGCUUUUCUCAAUAGAAGAUCACUCUUGGGUCAGGGCGCAAACCCUUGCUAGAAUUUCCAAAGAAACCUUUGAAGGUCCAUUUGUAGGAGAAUGUAGGGUGGUCAAGCUUUCAGGGUUUUAGACACAUCUAAAUCAGGUGCUGCAUGCAGCAGUCUGCCUUUCUUU